This 433-nucleotide ribosomal RNA is filed under the name uncultured bacterium. Its description in RNAcentral is "partial 16S ribosomal RNA". It matches the Rfam family "Bacterial small subunit ribosomal RNA", at positions 29 to 507 of the family's 1533-position model. The record is from RNAcentral.
AACGAACGCUGGCGGCAUGCCUAACACAUGCAAGUCGAACGAGACCUUCGGGUCUAGUGGCGCACGGGUGCGUAACGCGUGGGAACCUGCCUUUAGGUUCGGAAUAACUCAGAGAAAUUUGAGCUAAUACCGGAUGAUGUCUUCGGACCAAAGAUUUAUCGCCUUUAGAUGGGCCCGCGUUGGAUUAGCUAGUUGGUGGGGUAAAGGCCUACCAAGGCUGAGAUCCAUAGCUGGUCUGGGAGGAUGAUCCGCCACACUGGGACGUGGAACCGGCCCCGACUACUUCGGGAGGGAAGAAUGGGGGAUAUUGGAAAAUGGGGGGAAGGCCGAACCCGCCAGGGCGGGGUAGUGAUGAAGGGCUUAGGGUUGUAAAGCUCUUUUACCCGAGAUGAUAAUGACAGUAUCGGGAGAAUAAGCUCCGGCUAACUCCGUG